AACGCGAAGAACCUUACCUGGGCUCGAACGACUGGUGGUACCUUGUUUGAAAGGACGAGGGACCCGCAAGGGAGCCAGCCGAGGUGCUGCAUGGUUGUCGUCAGCUCGUGUCGUGAGAUGUUGGGUUAAGUCCCGCAACGAGCGCAACCCCUGUCCCGUGUUGCUACCCGCAAGGGAGGACUCUCGGGAGACUGCCGCGGAUAACGUGGAGGAAGGUGGGGAUGACGUCAAAUCAUCAUGGCCCUUAUGUCCAGGGCAACACACGUGCUACAAUGGCGUUAACAGUGGGACGCAAGACCGCAAGGUGGAGCAAAUCCCCAAAUAACGCCUCAGUUCAGAUUGUGGGCUGCAAUUCGCCCACAUGAAGGUGGAAUCGCUAGUAAUCGCAGAUCAGCAGGCUGCGGUGAAUACGUUCCCGGGCCUUGUACACACCGCUACAGU
Molecule: ribosomal RNA, 441 nt
Filed under: uncultured bacterium
Lineage: Bacteria
Description: bacterial SSU rRNA
Rfam family: Bacterial small subunit ribosomal RNA
Source: RNAcentral